This 214-nucleotide unclassified non-coding RNA is filed under the name uncultured fungus. Its description in RNAcentral is "sequence contains ITS1". Lineage: Eukaryota; Fungi. The record is from RNAcentral.
AGCUGGUUUCCGAGCGUUUUCGGCGUGAACGGCCGCUUCUCGAGCGCCUUCUGACCGGCGCACCGCCGGACGACGAGACGGCUGCGGCUGCCCGGCAAGCGUUCGACCGGCGGAGCCGACGCGUUCGCGCGGCGGUUGCUCGGUUCGCGGGGGUUUUGUCAGACGAUCGUCGGGACGCGACAAUGGAUUCGCUGGCAAUUUCGUACAUUCAUAU